GGGGAAUAUUGCGCAAUGGGCGAAAGCCUGACGCAGCGACGCCGCGUGAGGGACGAAGGCCUUCGGGUUGUAAACCUCUUUCAGCAGGGACGAAGCCGCAAGGUGACUGUACCUGCAGAAGAAGCACCGGCUAACUACGUGCCAGCAGCCGCGGUAAUACGUAGGGUGCAAGCGUUGUCCGGAAUUAUUGGGCGUAAAGAGCUCGUAGGCGGUCUGUCGCGUCGGAUGUGAAAACCCAGGGCCCAACCCUGGGCCUGCAUUCGAUACGGGCAGACUAGAGUUCGGCAGGGGAGACUGGAAUUCCUGGUGUAGCGGUGAAAUGCGCAGAUAUCAGGAGGAACACCGGUGGCGAAGGCGGGUCUCUGGGCCGAUACUGACGCUGAGGAGCGAAAGCGUGGGGAGCAAAC
This 407-nucleotide ribosomal RNA is filed under the name uncultured bacterium. RNAcentral's name for it is "bacterial SSU rRNA". It matches the Rfam family "Bacterial small subunit ribosomal RNA", at positions 356 to 773 of the family's 1533-position model. The record is from RNAcentral.